Molecule: ribosomal RNA, 515 nt
Filed under: uncultured bacterium
Lineage: Bacteria
Description: partial 16S ribosomal RNA
Source: RNAcentral
GGAGUUAGCCGGUGCUUCUUCUGCGAGUAACGUCACAGAUGUAAGGUAUUAACUUACACCCUUUCCUCCUCGCUGAAAGUGCUUUACAACCCGAAGGCCUUCUUCACACACGCGGCAUGGCUGCAUCAGGGUUUCCCCCAUUGUGCAAUAUUCCCCACUGCUGCCUCCCGUAGGAGUCUGGGCCGUGUCUCAGUCCCAGUGUGGCUGAUCAUCCUCUCAGACCAGCUAGGGAUCGUCGCCUAGGUGAGCCUUUACCUCACCUACUAGCUAAUCCCACCUGGGCUUAUCCAUCAGCGCAAGGCCCGAAGGUCCCCUGCUUUCCCCCGUAGGGCGUAUGCGGUAUUAGCAGUCGUUUCCAACUGUUAUCCCCCACAAAUGGGCAAAUUCCCAGGCAUUACUCACCCGUCCGCCGCUCGUCAUCUCAAGACANACUUAGUAAUAGUACGUCUCGACUGCAUGUGUUAGGUCGUCGCCGCCACGCGUCUAUACUGAGACACUAGAUACAAACUACUCGA